Molecule: transfer RNA, 73 nt
Filed under: Elusimicrobia bacterium ADurb.Bin231
Lineage: Bacteria; Pseudomonadati; Elusimicrobiota
Description: tRNA-Lys
Rfam family: tRNA
About the family: Transfer RNA (tRNA) molecules are approximately 80 nucleotides in length. Their secondary structure includes four short double-helical elements and three loops (D, anti-codon, and T loops). Further hydrogen bonds mediate the characteristic L-shaped molecular structure. tRNAs have two regions of fundamental functional importance: the anti-codon, which is responsible for specific mRNA codon recognition, and the 3' end, to which the tRNAs corresponding amino acid is attached (by aminoacyl-tRNA synthetases). tRNAs cope with the degeneracy of the genetic code in two manners: having more than one tRNA (with a specific anti-codon) for a particular amino acid; and 'wobble' base-pairing, i.e. permitting non-standard base-pairing at the 3rd anti-codon position.
Source: RNAcentral
GGGCCCGUAGCUCAGCUGGUAGAGCACUUGACUUUUAAUCAAGUGGUCGGGCGUUCGAACCGCCCCGGGCUCA